ACCCACCGCCGGCUCAUCCGCAGUAAAUUUCUCCACACAUCACCUACCUGUAUUACCCAGUUGUCCACCGCCGCCAUCCAUGGCCGGGACUCCCGGGCGGGGGAAGAAGGGGAGGGACGCGCGAGCGAGCUCGAAAUUCUGAGCGUGGCUACCGGGACGGCGCGCUUGCGGUUGCGGGGGUGGCCGCCCGGUCGUGGGUGGUCGAGUCUCCACGAGAUCCCUCCCUGGGUCCCUGCGCUCCCCCCGGCGGUCGGGUCUCCACGAAAUCCACCAAAUCCUUCCCACCACAACAACUCCUCCCGCUUCCUCCCCCACAACAACUUCUGCGCCGGACCCGGACCCGGCCCAUCCUCAUCCUCGCGUCGUCGUCGUCUUCUCCCCUCGCGUCGCCUUCUUCACCGCCGACAACCGGCAGGAACGCUUAACCGACGCCAUCUCCUUGCCUCGCGGGAUCCCAUCAAUAAUGGGGUGGCUUCGCCAUGGGCAGGCCAAGUCCGAGCCCGUCGGUUGGCCCUCUACGGCCAACCUGCACCGGACUUGUCGGGGCCUUCUCUGGCUCCUGCAGGCGGCGGUACUGCGAGACGGCGGUGGCCAGACAUUGCGUGUCGACCUUGUGCUUUCAAGCGACAUAGCUGCUGGUGGAUGGCGGUCACGCAGCAGGGCUCCAAAAAUUGUUCCAGCUGUUCCCUCCCACAGGGGCCCCCCAAAUUGGGCAAAAUUCACCUGGUUGCGGGAGCAGGUGGUGCCAAGGCUGGCGCUCACGCCGCAUCGAGCCAAGCAGCCAACUCCAAGGUUCAGCUCAGCUGCGCUCAAGGCCAGACAAUCACUGAUUCACCAUCCAUGUGGUGCAUCCUAGAUAUUGUUCAUAUAGAUACAUGUGCCUCAGGAAUUGUGACCCCAGUAGAAGAUAGCCAGUAAUUACUGCAAAGCUGAUCUACAUGUUAUGCCAACCAUUUUGUUGUCGAAUUUUACUAUUUCAAUCCUGAUUUCCCUGCCGGGCAAUGGUCGUGAUUUCACCGCAAAGCUGGGCUUCUAGGUGUGAUAAGUUACUGCCCUGGGAAGGCUACAGGGGUUGUUACAAACAAGUCGUUCAGCAAACUUCUCUUGAGACAUCUGACUUGCUUAAAGAUAUAUUGCACUCUAGGUAUCGUUAUGUCAACUAUUGAUUACUCCAGGCCACACUCCAUUCAAGGUCCCAGACUUCAACAUUGCCUACCAGUAAGGCAUCAUCUUUUAGCAUUGGCAGGGUGCGCCAUAUAUGUUCAAGUGCAGUUGCUCUCAAAAUAUCCAUAUAUGUUCAAGUGCAGAUGCUCUCAAAAAUAUCAGUAGCAAAUCCAAGGAUCAAUGCAGUAUGCGGAAUAAAAGAAUCAUGCAAGCACCUAAGGUAGAGAAAGGAAAUGCAUAAAGUACAUUUUCUACAUGCCGGUUUGCAAAAGUAUAAAAGAAACGUGUAAAGUAAAUUUUGUACAUGCCGGUUUGUAGAAGUGUAUUAGCUGAAUCUGGCUUCUUUUGUUCUCUUAAGCAAUUAGAGAGCUUGGAAGAACAGCUAGCUGAGGUUUCCACGGAGAGGACAAAGGCAUCCGAAACGAUUCCGUCACCGCGGAUAUUAAUUCCGGUGGAGGAUUCCCUUUGUGCAUCAUUAUAUCACAUAUAAGUUAUGUCUUGUAUCUGAGAUAUGCCACUGAAAUGUUUUCAAGCAUUAUCAUUUUCGAGUAAUAUGAUUUGGCCUGGUACACUGACACUUAUUUCCCUAACAGCAAAACAAUAGAGUGAUUGUCAUUGUUUCAGUUAUAGGUGAGGCAAUGCACGACUUGAUCCUUUAUCACCUUGGUUAUGUAUAUUUUCUCUUUUGUUUCUCCUUUUUAAUACUUUUCUACUUCUCUAUUUAUUUAUCAAAUCAAGUUUUUUCACUUCUUGACUUUCAGUUAGAUUAAGAAAGAUACAUCUUCUCACCGCAUUGUCUAGAUUGUGAUUUUGAUUUAUGAGUAUUGAUGGUAAAACUAUGUGCUCACAGGGAGAUUGGAAGAAUAAUCAUGCAAACUUCCCUGCUGAAAGAUUUCUUACCUCCAGAUACCAAUGUGUUGCUUGCAUAUAGGAAUACAGGGUUCACCAAACUCGAUAACAGCCAUACGAGCUAGACAUUAUUGUGGACAAUCAAGAGGCAUGCAACCCUCUAUCCAUGUCCAGACAGAGGCCAGGUUAAUAACAACAUCUGCCUUUGCACUACACUUCUGAAUUUUAUUUUUACAUUGUUUCAAGAUACCCUACUUCCAUGAAACGGGUGCAGCCUUGAUUUGAAUAGGCGAGCUCAGGUCAAAGGCCAAAGAAAAAAACACAUAUCAUGCAUACCACUGAGGAGUCGGUCCGGUUGAAACUUAGAUAUCAAAACCAUACAAGCCAUCUAUGCUGCCUAUUAGAAAGGAGAAAAGGAAGAAGAGCGCCUUCUCAACUGGAUAGAUGUUGGCUGCCCAAUUGAUGCCAAAGUCGAGCCUUCCACAAGGAGCUCACUCGUGCUGCUCUUCCUUAACAUAAUAGGCGAAUGCAUGGAAAUUAUUGUCCUAUACCCUGAUUGCAAGGACAACUUCCACAAGUAUUGAUGGUUUUGCAAGUAGGAAGAAUCAAAUAAUUUUCCCGGCAUGGUGUUCUACUGUUCUUUUAGGCUCUGGUUAUUAUCAAAUGUGUCCCCUGUUAUAUAUUUAAUUGUAUUGUUCCAUUUAUGUUUGAUGGUGGAAUGAAAAUUACGAGGAGAUACAAACUUAUCAACUAAUCUGCACAUUAAUACAUCUAUAAUGUAUAUGUA
Lolium perenne is the source of this 2800-nucleotide RNA transcript. RefSeq lists it as uncharacterized. Lineage: Eukaryota; Viridiplantae; Streptophyta; Magnoliopsida; Poales; Poaceae. The record is from RefSeq and is a predicted model, not a curated record.